Molecule: ribosomal RNA, 253 nt
Filed under: uncultured bacterium
Lineage: Bacteria
Description: partial 16S ribosomal RNA
Rfam family: Bacterial small subunit ribosomal RNA
Source: RNAcentral
UACGUAGGCAGCGAGCGUUGUUCGGAGUUACUGGGCGUAAAGGGUGUGUAGGCGGUUGUUUAAGUUUGGUGUGAAAUCUCCCGGCUCAACUGGGAGGGUGCGCCGAAUACUGAAUGACUUGGAGUGCGGGAGAGGAAAGUGGAAUUCCUGGUGUAGCGGUGAAAUGCGUAGAGACCCGGAGGAACACCAGUGGCGAAGGCGGCUUCCUGGUCUGCAACUGACGCUGUGGCGCGAAGCUAGGGGAGCAAACAGG